GGGCGUUUGGUUUAGGGGUAUAACAUUCGUUUCGCAGUCUUGUGACUACGAAAGGUCCUGGGUUCGAUUCCCAGAACGUCCA
Non-coding RNA from Clathrus columnatus, 82 nucleotides. The record is from the annotation of a GenBank genome assembly. Lineage: Eukaryota; Fungi; Basidiomycota; Agaricomycetes; Phallales; Clathraceae.